CCUACGGGAGGCAGCAGUGAGGAAUAUUGGUCAAUGGGCGUAAGCCUGAACCAGCCAAGUCGCGUGAGGGAUGAAGGUUCUAUGGAUCGUAAACCUCUUUUAUAAGGGAAUAAAGUGUGGGACGUGUCCUGUUUUGUAUGUACCUUAUGAAUAAGGAUCGGCUAACUCCGUGCCAGCAGCCGCGGUAAUACGGAGGAUCCGAGCGUUAUCCGGAUUUAUUGGGUUUAAAGGGUGCGUAGGCGGCCGUUUAAGUCAGCUGUGAAAGUUUGUGGCUCAACCAUAGAAUUGCCGUUGAUACUGGGAGGCUUGAGUAUGUUUGAGGCAGGCGGAAUGCGUGGUGUAGCGGUGAAAUGCUUAGAUAUCACGCAGAACCCCGAUUGCGAAGGCAGCCUGCCAAGCCAUGACUGACGCUGAUGCACGAAAGCGUGGGGAUCAAACAGGAUUAGAUACCCUGGUAGUC
RNAcentral lists this ribosomal RNA (460 nucleotides) under uncultured bacterium. RNAcentral's name for it is "partial 16S ribosomal RNA". It matches the Rfam family "Bacterial small subunit ribosomal RNA", at positions 338 to 795 of the family's 1533-position model. The record is from RNAcentral.